Molecule: ribosomal RNA, 468 nt
Filed under: uncultured bacterium
Lineage: Bacteria
Description: partial 16S ribosomal RNA
Rfam family: Bacterial small subunit ribosomal RNA
Source: RNAcentral
GAUGAACGCUGGCGGCGUGCCUAACACAUGCAAGUCGAGCGAUUCUCUUCGGAGAAGAGCGGCGGACGGGUGAGUAACGCGUGGGUAACCUGCCCUGUACACACGGAUAACAUACCGAAAGGUAUGCUAAUACGAGAUAAUAUGCUUUUAUCGCAUGGUAGAAGUAUCAAAGCUUUGGCGGUACAGGAUGGACCCGCGUCUGAUUAGCUAGUUGGUAAGGUAACGGCUUACCAAGGCGACGAUCAGUAGCCGACCUGAGAGGGUGAUCGGCCACAUUGGAACUGAGACACGGUCCAAACUCCUACGGGGGGCAGCAGUGGGGAAUAUUGCACAAUGGGCGAAAGCCUGAUGCAGCAACGCCGCGUGAGCGAUGAAGGCCUUCGGGUCGUAAAGCUCUGUCCUCAAGGAAGAUAAUGACGGUACUUGAGGAGGAAGCCCCGGCUAACUACGUGCCAGCCGCCGCCGUAA